RNAcentral lists this ribosomal RNA (490 nucleotides) under uncultured bacterium. Its description in RNAcentral is "partial 16S ribosomal RNA". It matches the Rfam family "Bacterial small subunit ribosomal RNA", at positions 30 to 507 of the family's 1533-position model. The record is from RNAcentral.
AUUGAACGCUGGCGGCAGGCCUAACACAUGCAAGUCGAACGGUAACAGGAAGCAGCUUGCUGCUUUGCUGACGAGUGGCGGACGGGUGAGUAAUGUCUGGGAAACUGCCCGAUGGAGGGGGAUAACUACUGGAAACGGUAGCUAAUACCGCAUAACGUCGCAAGACCAAAGCGGGGGACCUUAGGGCCUCUUGCCAUCGGGUGUGCCCAGAUGGGAUUAGCUAGUAGGUGGGGUAACGGCUCACCUAGGCGACGAUCCCUAGCUGGUCUGAGAGGAUGACCAGCCAAACUGGAACUGAGACACGGUCCAGACUCCUACGGGAGGCAGCAGUGGGGAAUAUUGCACAAUGGGCGCAAGCCUGAUGCAGCCAUGCCGCGUGUAUGAAGAAGGCCUUCGGGUUGUAAAGUACUUUCAGCGGGGAGGAAGGGAGUAAAGUUAAUACCUUUGCUCAUUGACGUUACCCGCAGAAGAAGCACCGGCUAACUCCGUG